ACUCCCCUAUAGUUGCAGAUAUGGCUGUUGUGUCACAUGUGGAGGUGGCAGACAGAAGCUAGAUCUAUGCUCAGUGCUCUGACAUGUGUUGAAGUUUGGUCUUUUGCUUGCAUU
Small nucleolar RNA from Rattus norvegicus (Norway rat), 114 nucleotides. Ensembl annotates it as small nucleolar RNA SNORA17. Lineage: Eukaryota; Metazoa; Chordata; Mammalia; Rodentia; Muridae. The record is from Ensembl.